RNAcentral lists this microRNA (22 nucleotides) under Echinococcus granulosus. RNAcentral's name for it is "egr-miR-9-3p". Its record names the gene egr-miR-9-3p. RNAcentral also lists the same sequence under 1 other name. Lineage: Eukaryota; Metazoa; Platyhelminthes; Cestoda; Cyclophyllidea; Taeniidae. The record is from miRBase by way of RNAcentral.
CAAGGCUAGAUUUCCAAACAAA